ACAUGAAGCUGGAAUCGCUAGUAAUCGCGGAUCAGAAUGCCGCGGUGAAUACGUUCCCGGGUCUUGUACACACCGCCCGUCACACCAUGGGAGUCGGUAACACCCGAAGUCGGUAGCCUAACCGUAAGGAGGGCGCCGCCGAAGGUGGGAUUGAUGACUGGGGUGAAGUCGUAACAAGGUACC
RNAcentral lists this ribosomal RNA (183 nucleotides) under uncultured bacterium. RNAcentral describes it as "partial 16S ribosomal RNA". It matches the Rfam family "Bacterial small subunit ribosomal RNA", at positions 1318 to 1500 of the family's 1533-position model. The record is from RNAcentral.